RNAcentral lists this ribosomal RNA (603 nucleotides) under Escherichia coli. Its description in RNAcentral is "partial 23S ribosomal RNA". It matches the Rfam family "Bacterial large subunit ribosomal RNA", at positions 614 to 1218 of the family's 2925-position model. Lineage: Bacteria; Pseudomonadati; Pseudomonadota; Gammaproteobacteria; Enterobacterales; Enterobacteriaceae. The record is from RNAcentral.
AAUGGGUCAGCGACUUAUAUUCUGUAGCAAGGUUAACCGAAUAGGGGAGCCGAAGGGAAACCGAGUCUUAACUGGGCGUUAAGUUGCAGGGUAUAGACCCGAAACCCGGUGAUCUAGCCAUGGGCAGGUUGAAGGUUGGGUAACACUAACUGGAGGACCGAACCGACUAAUGUUGAAAAAUUAGCGGAUGACUUGUGGCUGGGGGUGAAAGGCCAAUCAAACCGGGAGAUAGCUGGUUCUCCCCGAAAGCUAUUUAGGUAGCGCCUCGUGAAUUCAUCUCCGGGGGUAGAGCACUGUUUCGGCAAGGGGGUCAUCCCGACUUACCAACCCGAUGCAAACUGCGAAUACCGGAGAAUGUUAUCACGGGAGACACACGGCGGGUGCUAACGUCCGUCGUGAAGAGGGAAACAACCCAGACCGCCAGCUAAGGUCCCAAAGUCAUGGUUAAGUGGGAAACGAUGUGGGAAGGCCCAGACAGCCAGGAUGUUGGCUUAGAAGCAGCCAUCAUUUAAAGAAAGCGUAAUAGCUCACUGGUCGAGUCGGCCUGCGCGGAAGAUGUAACGGGGCUAAACCAUGCACCGAAGCUGCGGCAGCGACGCUUAU